UGAAUUUCAUAAAUUUCAAAUUGUGAAAUAG
This 31-nucleotide non-coding RNA is filed under the name Mus musculus (house mouse). The record is from RNAcentral. Lineage: Eukaryota; Metazoa; Chordata; Mammalia; Rodentia; Muridae.